GCCCAGAUGGCUCAGUCAGUAGAGCAUCAGAAUUUCAAUCUAAUGGUACAGGGUUCAAGUCCCCGUUUGGACC
RNAcentral lists this transfer RNA (73 nucleotides) under Danio rerio (zebrafish). It matches the Rfam family "tRNA". Rfam says of the family: Transfer RNA (tRNA) molecules are approximately 80 nucleotides in length. Their secondary structure includes four short double-helical elements and three loops (D, anti-codon, and T loops). Further hydrogen bonds mediate the characteristic L-shaped molecular structure. tRNAs have two regions of fundamental functional importance: the anti-codon, which is responsible for specific mRNA codon recognition, and the 3' end, to which the tRNAs corresponding amino acid is attached (by aminoacyl-tRNA synthetases). tRNAs cope with the degeneracy of the genetic code in two manners: having more than one tRNA (with a specific anti-codon) for a particular amino acid; and 'wobble' base-pairing, i.e. permitting non-standard base-pairing at the 3rd anti-codon position. Lineage: Eukaryota; Metazoa; Chordata; Actinopteri; Cypriniformes; Danionidae. The record is from Rfam by way of RNAcentral.